AACGCGAAGAACCUUACCAACCCUUGACAUCCUCAGCUACAUCCAGAGAUGGAUGGUUCACUUCGGUGACUGAGUGACAGGUGCUGCAUGGCUGUCGUCAGCUCGUGUCGUGAGAUGUUCGGUUAAGUCCGGCAACGAGCGCAACCCACAUCCCUAGUUGCCAGCAGGUCAAGCUGGGCACUCUAUGGAAACUGCCCGUGAUAAGCGGGAGGAAGGUGUGGAUGACGUCAAGUCCUCAUGGCCCUUACGGGUUGGGCUACACACGUGCUACAAUGGCAGUGACAAUGGGUUAAUCCCAAAAAACUGUCUCAGUUCGGAUUGUCGUCUGCAACUCGACGGCAUGAAGUCGGAAUCGCUAGUAAUCGCGUAACAGCAUGACGCGGUGAAUACGUUCCCGGGUCUUGUACACACGC
RNAcentral lists this ribosomal RNA (413 nucleotides) under uncultured bacterium. Its description in RNAcentral is "bacterial SSU rRNA". It matches the Rfam family "Bacterial small subunit ribosomal RNA", at positions 958 to 1393 of the family's 1533-position model. The record is from RNAcentral.